This 293-nucleotide ribosomal RNA is filed under the name uncultured bacterium. Its description in RNAcentral is "partial 16S ribosomal RNA". It matches the Rfam family "Bacterial small subunit ribosomal RNA", at positions 505 to 796 of the family's 1533-position model. The record is from RNAcentral.
GUGUCAGCCGCCGCGGUAAGACGUAGGGGGCGAGCGUUGUCCGGAUUUAUUGGGCGUAAAGAGCUCGUAGGCGGUUUGGCAAGUCGGAUGUGAAAACUCCAGGCUCAACCUGGAGACGCCAUUCGAUACUGCUAUGACUUGAGUCCGGUAGGGGCGCAUGGAAUUCCCGGUGUAGCGGUGAAAUGCUUAGAUAUCGGGAGGAACACCAGUGGCGAAGGCGGUGCGCUGGGCCGGAACUGACGCUGAGGAGCGAAAGCGUGGGUAGCAAACAGGAUUAGAAACCCCAGUAGUCC